RNAcentral lists this ribosomal RNA (433 nucleotides) under uncultured bacterium. RNAcentral describes it as "partial 16S ribosomal RNA". It matches the Rfam family "Bacterial small subunit ribosomal RNA", at positions 29 to 507 of the family's 1533-position model. The record is from RNAcentral.
AACGAACGCUGGCGGCAUGCCUAACACAUGCAAGUCGAACGAGACCUUCGGGUAUAGUGGCGCACGGGUGCGUAACGCGUGGGAACCUGCCCUUAGGUUCGGAAUAACUCCCCGAAAGGGGUGCUAAUACCGGAUAAUGUCUUCGGACCAAAGAUUUAUCGCCUUUGGAUGGGCCCGCGUUGGAUUAGCUAGUUGGUAGGGUAAAAGCCUACCAAGGCGACGAUCCAUAGCUGGUCUGAGAGGAUGAUCAGCCACACUGGGACUGAGACACGGCCCAGACUCCUGCGGGAGGCAGCAGUGGGGAAUAUUGGACGAUGGGCGAAAGCCUGAUCCAGCAAUGCCGCGUGAGUGAUGAAGGCCUUAGGGUUGUAAAGCUCUUUUACCCGGGAUGAUAAUGACAGUACCGGGAGAAUAAGCUCCGGCUAACUCCGUG